GACAUGAUAAGAAAGAGAAAAUGAUGAAAAAUGAUACGGAACUUGCGGCGGCUUGUCUCCAGGAUUCUUUAAUCCAGUCUGAUACUCAUAUGGAGAAACCUAAGGACAAGUUUGAUGAGAAAAAGGUCGGCUUAUUGGCGCGAGUAGAAGAGCCCGAAAAGAAACUUGGCUCAAUCAUUGCCGACUUGAACAAGCUGAAGAAACAUAUUACUCAAAUGACUCUUGCCAUCUUUGGUACAAAUCUUCAUAUUUCUAUUCUAAUAUUG
This 266-nucleotide long non-coding RNA is filed under the name Hordeum vulgare. RNAcentral describes it as "long non-coding RNA (HVUL_LNC008968)". The record is from RNAcentral. Lineage: Eukaryota; Viridiplantae; Streptophyta; Magnoliopsida; Poales; Poaceae.